AUUGAACGCUGGCGGCAGGCCUAACACAUGCAAGUCGAGCGGAUGAAGGGAGCUUGCUCCUGGAUUCAGCGGCGGACGGGUGAGUAAUGCCUAGGAAUCUGCCUGGUAGUGGGGGAUAACGUCCGGAAACGGGCGCUAAUACCGCAUACGUCCUGAGGGAGAAAGUGGGGGAUCUUCGGACCUCACGCUAUCAGAUGAGCCUAGGUCGGAUUAGCUAGUUGGUGGGGUAAAGGCCUACCAAGGCGACGAUCCGUAACUGGUCUGAGAGGAUGAUCAGUCACACUGGAACUGAGACACGGUCCGGACUCCUACGGGAGGCAGCAGUGGGGAAUAUUGGACAAUGGGCGAAAGCCUGAUCCAGCCAUGCCGCGUGUGUGAAGAAGGUCUUCGGAUUGUAAAGCACUUUAAGUUGGGAGGAAGGGCAGUAAGUUAAUACCUUGCUGUUUUGACGGUACCAACAGAAUAAGCACCGGCUAACUUCGUG
RNAcentral lists this ribosomal RNA (484 nucleotides) under uncultured bacterium. RNAcentral describes it as "partial 16S ribosomal RNA". It matches the Rfam family "Bacterial small subunit ribosomal RNA", at positions 30 to 507 of the family's 1533-position model. The record is from RNAcentral.